This 253-nucleotide ribosomal RNA is filed under the name uncultured bacterium. RNAcentral describes it as "partial 16S ribosomal RNA". It matches the Rfam family "Bacterial small subunit ribosomal RNA", at positions 524 to 776 of the family's 1533-position model. The record is from RNAcentral.
UACAGAGACUGCAAGCGUUAUUCGGAUUUACUGGGCGUAAAGAGCGCGCAGGCGGUCGUUCAAGUCGAGUGUGAAAGCCCCCGGCUCAACUGGGGAGGGUCACUCGAUACUGAUCGACUCGAAGGCAGGAGAGGGAAGCGGAAUUCCCGGUGUAGUGGUGAAAUGCGUAGAUAUCGGGAGGAACACCAGUGGCGAAGGCGGCUUUCUGGCCUGUUCUUGACGCUGAGGCGCGAAAGCUAGGGUAGCAAACGGG